GCGGUGGAGCAUGUGGUUUAAUUCGACGCAACGCGAAGAACCUUACCAGGGUUUGACAUCCCUGACAGACUAUGAAAGUAGGACUUUUGCCUUCGGGCAGACAGGGAGACAGGUGGUGCAUGGUUGUCGUCAGCUCGUGUCGUGAGAUGUUGGGUUAAGUCCCGCAACGAGCGCAACCCCUACGUUUAGUUGCCAGCGGUUAAAGCCGGGCACUCUAGACGAACUGCCGUUGACAAAACGGAGGAAGGUGGGAUGACGUCAAAUCAUCAUGCCCUUUAUAUCCUGGGCUACACACGUGCUACAAUGGCCGGUACAGACGGAAGCAAAGCCGCGAGGUGGAGCGAAUCCUAAAAAGCCGGUCUCAGUUCGGAUUGCAGGCUGCAAUUCGCCUGCAUGAAGUCGGAAUCGCUAGUAAUCGCAGGUCAGCAUACUGCGGUGAAUACGUUCCCGGGCCUU
RNAcentral lists this ribosomal RNA (456 nucleotides) under uncultured Pelotomaculum sp. RNAcentral's name for it is "bacterial SSU rRNA". It matches the Rfam family "Bacterial small subunit ribosomal RNA", at positions 929 to 1382 of the family's 1533-position model. The record is from RNAcentral. Lineage: Bacteria; Bacillati; Bacillota; Clostridia; Eubacteriales; Desulfotomaculaceae.